This 287-nucleotide ribosomal RNA is filed under the name uncultured Borrelia sp. RNAcentral describes it as "partial 16S ribosomal RNA". It matches the Rfam family "Bacterial small subunit ribosomal RNA", at positions 509 to 794 of the family's 1533-position model. Lineage: Bacteria; Pseudomonadati; Spirochaetota; Spirochaetia; Spirochaetales; Borreliaceae. The record is from RNAcentral.
CAGCAGCCGCGGUAAUACGUAAGGGGCGAGCGUUGUUCGGGAUUAUUGGGCGUAAAGGGUGAGUAGGCGGAUAUAUAAGUCUAUGCAUAAAAUACCACAGCUCAACUGUGGAACUAUGUUGGAAACUAUAUGUCUAGAGUCUGAUAGAGGAAGUUAGAAUUUCUGGUGUAAGGGUGGAAUCUGUUGAUAUCAGAAAGAAUACCGGAGGCGAAGGCGAACUUCUGGGUCAAGACUGACGCUGAGUCACGAAAGCGUAGGGAGCAAACAGGAUUAGAUACCCUGGUAGU